AGCUGUAGUAGUGGCAGUAUUAUAGCCAAUGAGGUGAAUCCGAGGCGUGAUUAUUGCUAGUUAAAAACGUAUCCUUAUAAACAAAUAAUUUUGUUCAAUUAAGACUAUU
RNAcentral lists this small nuclear RNA (109 nucleotides) under Chelydra serpentina (North American snapping turtle). Its description in RNAcentral is "U4 spliceosomal RNA (ENSCSRG00000014793.1)". It matches the Rfam family "U4 spliceosomal RNA". From Rfam's summary of the family: U4 small nuclear RNA (U4 snRNA) is a component of the major U2-dependent spliceosome. The structure of U4 snRNA from yeast and human has been reported. Lineage: Eukaryota; Metazoa; Chordata; Testudines; Chelydridae. The record is from RNAcentral.